RNAcentral lists this ribosomal RNA (632 nucleotides) under Enterobacter asburiae. Its description in RNAcentral is "bacterial SSU rRNA". It matches the Rfam family "Bacterial small subunit ribosomal RNA", at positions 147 to 779 of the family's 1533-position model. Lineage: Bacteria; Pseudomonadati; Pseudomonadota; Gammaproteobacteria; Enterobacterales; Enterobacteriaceae. The record is from RNAcentral.
CUACUGGAAACGGUAGCUAAUACCGCAUAAGUCGCAAGACCAAAGAAGGGGGACCUUCGGCCUCUUGCCAUCAGAAUGUGCCCAGAUGGGAUUAGCUAGUAGGUGGGGUAACGGCUCACCUAGGCGACGAUCCCUAGCUGGUCUGAGAGGAUGACCAGCCACACUGGAACUGAGACACGGUCCAGACUCCUACGGGAGGCAGCAGUGGGAAUAUUGCACAAUGGGCGCAAGCCUGAUGCAGCCAUGCCGCGUGUAUGAAGAAGGCCUUCGGGUUGUAAAGUACUUUCAGCGGGGAGGAAGGGUGAGGUUAAUAACCUCACAUUGACGUUACCCGCAGAAGAAGCACCGGCUAACUCCGUGCCAGCAGCCGCGGUAAUACGGAGGGUGCAAGCGUUAAUCGGAAUUACUGGGCGUAAAGCGCACGCAGGCGGUCUGUCAAGUCGGAUGUGAAAUCCCCGGGCUCAACCUGGGAACUGCAUUCGAAACUGGCAGGCUAGAGUCUUGUAGAGGGGGGUAGAAUUCCAGGUGUAGCGGUGAAAUGCGUAGAGAUCUGGAGGAAUACCGGUGGCGAAGGCGGCCCCCUGGACAAAGACUGACGCUCAGGUGCGAAAGCGUGGGGAGCAAACAGGAUU